AAGCCGCUGCCCACAUCAAGUACCUUGAUAAGUUUAAGAAGAUCGUCGAGCAACUCUUCAGAUUCUACAACUACAGUGCUGUACGAACAGCAUCCUUGAGGGAAAUUCAGACUGUCCUGAAUGAGCCAGCUGUGAAGAUCACUGAGGCCAAAGAUGUUAGGUGGUUGUCUCAUGAUAAGGCCGUGCGAGCACUGAGGCGUUGUCUUCCAGCAGUAAUUACCAGCCUUGAAUUUGAAGCCGCAAAAGGUGAUGCUCAGGCCCAGGGAUUGUCUUGCUUUGUACAACACUACGAGUUUGUUGCUGCUCUGCUCAUGAUGUCAGAUGUUCUGCCAGUACUCUCAGCUUUGUCACGUGCCUUUCAGACCUGAGAUGGUACAUACAGUCUGGUUGGUAGCCUAGUGUUGGGAACCAUUUCCACUGUGAAGACUCUGAAGGAAAACCCGGGGGAGCACUUUCGCAGCCUGUCCACUGUGAUGUCAGACCUUGUUGAUCAGCCAUUUAAGUUCCAUCCCCCUACAGACAGAGAGACUGAGCACUUCAUGAAGAAUGUAAGUUGAUAGUAAUGAAAUAUAUUGUGCUUUUUUCAGGGUGUUGAGAGACCUAUGCUGGACUUUUGUUGGGGCGUAAAAUCUGCCCUUUUAAGGCAACAUUGCAGCAUUUUUAAAGCAAACAGUUUUAGGUAAAUGUUAAAUGAAUUUGUUAUACAGUGGCUGUUGUACUGAAGAGGUUCACUGAUGGGAUAAAAAAAGUGUAAUUUAAUAUUGCUUUACUCUGUUUUAAGUGUACAACCCUUUCUUUGACUCUAUUGUACAAAAUCUUGAGAAGAGGUUUCCAAAUAUCGCGGAGUUAGAGGCAUUCUCUGUAUUCAGUCCACAGCUAUGGCCAGAAGACAGUGAAGAGUUUGCCGAGUAUGAGAAAGAUGAGAUUCAGAUGCUGUCUGUCCGAUUCCAGUCAUCAUUAAAUUGCCAAGCUGAUGUACAGUCCGAAUUCCAGUUGUUGAAGAACACUGUCCGCAAUGACCAGAAACUUGUGCAAGAACCAGCCAGCAAGAUCAUGGAGACAGUAGCAGGGCCUCUUUCAGAAACACUUCCCAACCUGGCCAAACUGGCAUCUGUUGGUCUCAUUAUCCCAACCUCUACUGCUGAUUGUGAAAGUGGCUUCUCAGCACUGAAGAGAAUCAAAACUGACAUAAGGAAUCGUAUGAAGGACUGUACACUGAACUCUCUUCUGCAGAUAGCAGUCGAAGGCCCAGAGAUCAUCAAUUUUCCAAACACCACUGCAGUGGACAAAUGGGCUGGUAGAAAAAACAGAAGACUAAAACUUUAAACAACAAAUUUGUGCAGUGAUAAGAUUGUAUUGUUUAUGUACAAUGAAUAUUGAGCAGUGAACAUUUUCAGAAGCUUAAAACGGAUAGGUUAACAUUGUCAUUACUAAGCAGAUAAACUCCAAAGGAAUAGAAGACUGAAGCUUUAAACAGCAAAUAUGUGCAAUGUUAAAAUUGUGUUGUUUCAUGUAAUAUAAAUAGUAAGCAUUGUCAGAAACUUAAGUUUACAUUGUCUUCAGCAAUUAACUACAGAGGAACACUUUCUCUAUUGUUCUUGUUGUGUAUGAAAAUGAUGCUUACUAAACAUUGAAAAAAUCUCUGUGUUUUUCACUCUCAAAUGCACCAGAAUGCACCAAAAAUUAGUUGUAAUAACACAAAAUUUCUGGGGGGUAGUCCCCCAUACCCCCCACA
Long non-coding RNA from Mercenaria mercenaria, 1735 nucleotides. RefSeq lists it as uncharacterized. The transcript is spliced from 5 exons. The record is from RefSeq and is a predicted model, not a curated record. Lineage: Eukaryota; Metazoa; Mollusca; Bivalvia; Venerida; Veneridae.